CGCGAACUGAUUCCGCUGAUGCAGGUGCAGGGCACCGACGAGGAAGAGGCCGCGGUGACGCUCGGCGCAGGCGGCUUCACCACAUUCUGGCGCGUUACGCUGCCGAACGUGAAAUGGGCAGUUGUCUAUGGCGCCAUCCUCUGCAACGCGCGCGUGAUGGGGGAGUUCGGCGCGGUGUCGGUGGUCUCCGGCAACAUCCGUGGCCAGACCA
This 211-nucleotide unclassified non-coding RNA is filed under the name Hevea brasiliensis (rubber tree). The record is from RNAcentral. Lineage: Eukaryota; Viridiplantae; Streptophyta; Magnoliopsida; Malpighiales; Euphorbiaceae.